This 253-nucleotide ribosomal RNA is filed under the name uncultured bacterium. RNAcentral's name for it is "partial 16S ribosomal RNA". It matches the Rfam family "Bacterial small subunit ribosomal RNA", at positions 524 to 776 of the family's 1533-position model. The record is from RNAcentral.
GACGAACCGAGCGAACGUUGUUCGGAAUCACUGGGCUUAAAGGGCGCGUAGGCGGGCCGCCAGGUCCGCGGUGAAAUCCCCCGGCUCAACCGGGGCAGUGCCGCGGCGACCGGAGGCCUGGAGGCGGGUAGGGGCGUGCGGAACACCGGGUGGAGCGGUGAAAUGCGUUGAUAUCCGGUGGAACUCCGGUGGCGAAGGCGGCACGCUGGACCCGACCUGACGCUGAGGCGCGAAAGCCAGGGGAGCGAACGGG